ACUCUCUUAGCUGCGUGCUCAGUCGAAGAGGACAGCCUUCCCCGAAUAGAGACGGACCAGUCUUCGGUCGAGGGUAUACGUGUAGCUGUGCUCCCCUGCUAGAACCUCCAAACAAGCUCUCAACAUGAAACAAANNNNNNN
This 141-nucleotide small RNA is filed under the name Sorex araneus (European shrew). Its description in RNAcentral is "7SK RNA (ENSSARG00000019019.1)". It matches the Rfam family "7SK RNA", at positions 116 to 262 of the family's 331-position model. From Rfam's summary of the family: 7SK was discovered as an abundant small nuclear RNA in the mid-70s but a possible function has only recently been suggested. Two independent studies have found that 7SK RNA binds the CDK9/cyclin T complex (known as elongation factor P-TEFb). The record is from RNAcentral. Lineage: Eukaryota; Metazoa; Chordata; Mammalia; Eulipotyphla; Soricidae.